CCUACGGGUGGCAGCAGUGGGGAAUAUUGGACAAUGGGCGAAAGCCUGAUCCAGCCAUGCCGCGUGUGUGAAGAAGGCCUUCGGGUUGUAAAGCACUUUCAGUGGGGAAGAAAGCCUUGGGGCUAAUACCCUCGAGGAAGGACAUCACCCACAGAAGAAGCACCGGCUAACUCCGUGCCAGCAGCCGCGGUAAUACGGAGGGUGCGAGCGUUAAUCGGAAUUACUGGGCGUAAAGCGCGCGUAGGCGGUCUGAUAAGCCGGUUGUGAAAGCCCCGGGCUCAACCUGGGAACGGCAUCCGGAACUGUCAGGCUAGAGUGCAGGAGAGGAAGGUAGAAUUCCCGGUGUAGCGGUAAAAUGCGUAGAGAUCGGGAGGAAUACCAGUGGCGAAGGCGGCCUUCUGGACUGACACUGACGCUGAGGUGCGAAAGCGUGGGUAGCAAACAGGAUUAGAUACCCCAGUAGUC
RNAcentral lists this ribosomal RNA (465 nucleotides) under Vreelandella stevensii. RNAcentral's name for it is "partial 16S ribosomal RNA". It matches the Rfam family "Bacterial small subunit ribosomal RNA", at positions 338 to 795 of the family's 1533-position model. Lineage: Bacteria; Pseudomonadati; Pseudomonadota; Gammaproteobacteria; Oceanospirillales; Halomonadaceae. The record is from RNAcentral.